GAUGAACGCUGGCGGCGUGCCUAAUACAUGCAAGUCGAGCGAACAGACGAGGAGCUUGCUCCUCUGACGUUAGCGGCGGACGGGUGAGUAACACGUGGAUAACCUACCUAUAAGACUGGGAUAACUUCGGGAAACCGGAGCUAAUACCGGAUAACAUGUUGCACCGCAUGGUUCAACAGUGAAAGACGGUCUUGCUGUCACUUAUAGCUGGAUCCGCGCCGCAUUAGCUAGUUGGUAAGGUAACGGGUUACCAAGGCAACGAUGCGUAGACGACCUGAGAGGGUGGUCGGCCACAUUGGAACGUGAACGCGGUCAAGACUCCUACGGUAGGGAGCAGUAGGGAAUCGUCCGCAAUGGGCGAAAACCUGACGGAACAACGGCGAGUGAGUGGAGAAGGUGUCCGGAGCGUAAAACUCUGUUAUGAGUGAAAAACAAAUGUGUAAGUAACUAUGCACGUCUUGACGGUACCUAAUCAGAAAGCCACGGCUAACUACGUG
This 497-nucleotide ribosomal RNA is filed under the name uncultured bacterium. RNAcentral's name for it is "partial 16S ribosomal RNA". It matches the Rfam family "Bacterial small subunit ribosomal RNA", at positions 28 to 507 of the family's 1533-position model. The record is from RNAcentral.